AUUGAACGCUGGCGGCAUGCCUUACACAUGCAAGUCGAACGGCAGCACGGACUUCGGUCUGGUGGCGAGUGGCGAACGGGUGAGUAAUAUAUCGGAACAUACCCUAGAGUGGGGGAUAACGUAGCGAAAGUUACGCUAAUACCGCAUACGAACUAAGGUUGAAAGUGGGGGAUCGCAAGACCUCAUGCUCAUGGAGUGGCCGAUAUCUGAUUAGCUAGUUGGUGAGGUAAAGGCUCACCAAGGCGACGAUCAGUAGCUGGUCUGAGAGGACGACCAGCCACACUGGAACUGAGACACGGUCCAGACUCCUACGGGAGGCAGCAGUGGGGGAAUUUUGGACAAUGGGCGCAAGCCUGAUCCAGCCAUUCCGCGUGAGUGAAGAAGGCCUC
Molecule: ribosomal RNA, 389 nt
Filed under: uncultured bacterium
Lineage: Bacteria
Description: bacterial SSU rRNA
Rfam family: Bacterial small subunit ribosomal RNA
Source: RNAcentral